UGUAAGCGUACACCAAAGUUGUUGCAGUUAAAACGCUCGUAGUCGGAAUUUGGCAGUUCCGGAUGUGUGCACGUCGUGUGCGCACUUCGCGGGGAUUGCUUUUGUGGUCUUGCGUAGGAUGAGGCACUUUUAUUAGUGAACGUCCUCACGCAACCACUUUUUACUGUGAGAAAAUCAGAGUGCUCAAAGCAGGCAUUUGCCGUGAAUGUAUUAGCAUGGAAUAAUAGAAUAGGACUUGGUUCUAUUUUGUUGGUUUGUUGGGACUGAGUAAUGAUUAAGAGGGACAGUUGGGGGCAUUUGUAUUUCGGUGCUAGAGGUGAAAUUCUUAGAUUACCGAAAGACAAACUGCUGCGAAAGCGUCUGCCAAGGAUGUUUUCAUUGA
Molecule: ribosomal RNA, 382 nt
Filed under: uncultured eukaryote
Lineage: Eukaryota
Description: partial 18S ribosomal RNA
Rfam family: Eukaryotic small subunit ribosomal RNA
Source: RNAcentral